RNAcentral lists this ribosomal RNA (253 nucleotides) under uncultured bacterium. Its description in RNAcentral is "partial 16S ribosomal RNA". It matches the Rfam family "Bacterial small subunit ribosomal RNA", at positions 524 to 776 of the family's 1533-position model. The record is from RNAcentral.
UACGAAUGGAGCGAGCGUUGUUCGGAAUCACUGGGCGUAAAGCGUGCGCAGGCGGUCGUGAAAGUUAGAAGUGAAAGCCCAGGGCUUAACCUUGGAAUUGCUUUUAAAACUCCACGACUAGAGUACUGGAGGGGUUGGCGGAAUUUCGAGUGUAGCAGUGAAAUGCGUAGAUAUUCGAAGGAACACCGAUGGCGUAGGCAGCCAACUGGACAGUUACUGACGCUCAGGCACGAAAGUAUGGGGAGCAAACAGG